CCUACGGGAGGCUGCAGUGGGGAAUAUUGGACAAUGGGGGGAACCCUGAUCCAGCCAUGCCGCGUGUGUGAAGAAGGCCCUCGGGUUGUAAAGCACUUUCAGUGAGGAAGAACGCCUGGUGGUUAAUACCCAUCAGGAAAGACAUCACUCACAGAAGAAGCACCGGCUAACUCCGUGCCAGCAGCCGCGGUAAUACGGAGGGUGCGAGCGUUAAUCGGAAUUACUGGGCGUAAAGCGCGCGUAGGUGGCUUGAUAAGCCGGUUGUGAAAGCCCCGGGCUCAACCUGGGAACGGCAUCCGGAACUGUCAAGCUAGAGUGCAGGAGAGGAAGGUAGAAUUCCCGGUGUAGCGGUGAAAUGCGUAGAGAUCGGGAGGAAUACCAGUGGCGAAGGCGGCCUUAUGGACUGACACUGACACUGAGGUGCGAAAGCGUGGGUAGCAAACAGGAUUAGAUACCCCUGUAGUC
RNAcentral lists this ribosomal RNA (465 nucleotides) under Vreelandella stevensii. RNAcentral's name for it is "partial 16S ribosomal RNA". It matches the Rfam family "Bacterial small subunit ribosomal RNA", at positions 338 to 795 of the family's 1533-position model. The record is from RNAcentral. Lineage: Bacteria; Pseudomonadati; Pseudomonadota; Gammaproteobacteria; Oceanospirillales; Halomonadaceae.